GACGAACGCUGGCGGCGUGCCUAAUACAUGCAAGUAGAACGCUGAAGGAGGAGCUUGCUUCUCUGGAUGAGUUGCGAACGGGUGAGUAACGCGUAGGUAACCUGCCUGGUAGCGGGGGAUAACUAUUGGAAACGAUAGCUAAUACCGCAUAAGAGUAGAUGUUGCAUGACAUUUGCUUAAAAGGUGCAAUUGCAUCACUACCAGAUGGACCUGCGUUGUAUUAGCUAGUUGGUGAGGUAACGGCUCACCAAGGCGACGAUACAUAGCCGACCUGAGAGGGUGAUCGGCCACACUGGGACUGAGACACGGCCCAGACUCCUACGGGAGGCAGCAGUAGGGAAUCUUCGGCAAUGGACGGAAGUCUGACCGAGCAAACGCCGCGUGAGUGAAGAAGGUUUUCGGAUCGUAAAAGCUUC
This 416-nucleotide ribosomal RNA is filed under the name Streptococcus mitis. Its description in RNAcentral is "bacterial SSU rRNA". It matches the Rfam family "Bacterial small subunit ribosomal RNA", at positions 28 to 434 of the family's 1533-position model. The record is from RNAcentral. Lineage: Bacteria; Bacillati; Bacillota; Bacilli; Lactobacillales; Streptococcaceae.